RNAcentral lists this ribosomal RNA (464 nucleotides) under uncultured bacterium. RNAcentral's name for it is "partial 16S ribosomal RNA". It matches the Rfam family "Bacterial small subunit ribosomal RNA", at positions 28 to 507 of the family's 1533-position model. The record is from RNAcentral.
GAUGAACGCUGGCGGCGUGCUUAACACAUGCAAGUCGAACGGAAAGGCUCCUGCUUGCAGGGGUACUCGAGUGGCGAACGGGUGAGUAACACGUGGGUGAUCUGCCCUGCACUUCGGGAUAAGCCUGGGAAACUGGGUCUAAUACCGGAUAGGACGAUGGUUUGGAUGCCAUUGUGGAAAGUUUUUCGGUGUGGGAUGAGCUCGCGGCCUAUCAGCUUGUUGGUGGGGUAAUGGCCUACCAAGGCGUCGACGGGUAGCCGGCCUGAGAGGGUGUACGGCCACAUUGGGACUGAGAUCGGCCCAGACUCCUACGGGAGGCAGCAGUGGGGAAUAUUGCACAAUGGGCGCAAGCCUGAUGCAGCGACGCCGCGUGGGGGAUGACGGCCUUCGGGUUGUAAACUCCUUUCGCUAGGGACGAAGCGCAAGUGACGGUACCUGGAGAAGAAGCACCGGCUAACUACGUG